This 463-nucleotide long non-coding RNA is filed under the name Malus domestica (apple). RNAcentral's name for it is "long non-coding RNA (MDOM_LNC012853)". Lineage: Eukaryota; Viridiplantae; Streptophyta; Magnoliopsida; Rosales; Rosaceae. The record is from RNAcentral.
GUUCAUAAUCAUCCUAAAACCUAAUAUGACUACAUAGUCCAUAUGAGGAUGCAAUGCAUUCGUUAGUAGUUCCAUAUAGUCUCGCUUGUUUCAACGAAACAGUGGGAGUAUUAUAUGCUACUAAUUCAUAUUAACUUGGACCAAUGGUUGUGAUAGGCCCAAGUUCUUUUAAUAUGAUUAAAAUGUUUUGAUGUAGCCCAAAACUACUCCCUCAAAUCAAAUAUUAUGUUGAUAAGCGAGAGAUGUUUUGAACAUCUCUUCGUAGGCCUUCCACCGUGGUGGGUUCCAAGCGUUUGUGACUCAUGCACCGGCUUCACCCUAUCAUGGGGAAGUACAAAGCAUGUGCUUACAUCCAGGAGGAAUCCAUAUACAUAUGAUGAGGUGAGUGUAGGCAACGAGGAUAGCCGACAUUGUAUCAUCGUGAGGCUAUUCUUGAACCCCUAUACAAACUAAGCAUGGUGGG